AUACUUACCCGGCAAGAGCGACACCAUGAUCAAGAAGGUGGUUCACCCAGGUUGAGGUUCAGCCUUUGCACUCUGGUUGUGCUGACCCCUGCCAAUUCCCCAAAUGUGAGAAUCUCAACUGCAUAAUUUCUGCUAUUGGGGGAAUGUGCUCAUGCUCUUCAC
Small nuclear RNA from Phyllopteryx taeniolatus (common seadragon), 162 nucleotides. RefSeq annotates it as U1 spliceosomal RNA. The transcript has a single exon. Lineage: Eukaryota; Metazoa; Chordata; Actinopteri; Syngnathiformes; Syngnathidae. The record is from RefSeq and is a predicted model, not a curated record.